GUGGCUAGCGUUGUUACUUUAUUUUGCUUGUACAAGUUUAUAUGCAUUUAUGUUUUGUGUUUGCUAUAUUUUUAUUGGUUCUAAGGUGGGGGUCAAUUGAAAAUAAUCUCUCUACUUCACCUGAGGUAGUGGUAUGGUCUGCGUACACUCUACCCUCCCCACACCUCACUAGGUGAUAAUACACUAGGUAUGUUGUUGUUGUGGUGGUGGU
RNAcentral lists this long non-coding RNA (211 nucleotides) under Capsicum annuum. RNAcentral describes it as "long non-coding RNA (CANN_LNC007912)". The record is from RNAcentral. Lineage: Eukaryota; Viridiplantae; Streptophyta; Magnoliopsida; Solanales; Solanaceae.